UACGGAGGGGGCUAGCGUUGUUCGGAAUUACUGGGCGUAAAGCGCGCGUAGGCGGGCUGUUAAGUCGGGGGUGAAAUCCCGGGGCUCAACCCCGGAACUGCCUUCGAUACUGGCAGCCUAGAGGAUGGCAGAGGCCAGUGGAAUGGCGAGUGUAGAGGUGAAAUUCGUAGAUAUUCGCCGGAACACCAGUGGCGAAGGCGACUGGCUGGUCCAUUUCUGACGCUGAGGCGCGAAAGCGUGGGGAGCAAACAGG
This 253-nucleotide ribosomal RNA is filed under the name uncultured bacterium. Its description in RNAcentral is "partial 16S ribosomal RNA". It matches the Rfam family "Bacterial small subunit ribosomal RNA", at positions 524 to 776 of the family's 1533-position model. The record is from RNAcentral.